UACGGAGGAUGCGAGCGUUAUCCGGAUUUAUUGGGUUUAAAGGGUGCGCAGGCGGAAUGUCAAGUCAGCGGUAAAAUUUCGGGGCUCAACCCCGUCGUGCCGUUGAAACUGACACCCUUGAGUGAGUGAGAAGUAAGCGGAAUGCGUGGUGUAGCGGUGAAAUGCAUAGAUAUCACGCAGAACCCCGAUUGCGAAGGCAGCAUACCGGUGCACAACUGACGCUCAGGCACGAAAGCGUGGGUAUCGAACAGG
This 252-nucleotide ribosomal RNA is filed under the name uncultured Bacteroidales bacterium. RNAcentral's name for it is "partial 16S ribosomal RNA". It matches the Rfam family "Bacterial small subunit ribosomal RNA", at positions 524 to 776 of the family's 1533-position model. Lineage: Bacteria; Pseudomonadati; Bacteroidota; Bacteroidia; Bacteroidales. The record is from RNAcentral.